Molecule: ribosomal RNA, 468 nt
Filed under: uncultured Glomus
Lineage: Eukaryota; Fungi; Glomeromycota; Glomeromycetes; Glomerales; Glomeraceae
Description: SSU rRNA
Rfam family: Eukaryotic small subunit ribosomal RNA
Source: RNAcentral
AGCAGCCGCGGUAAUUCCAGCUCCAAUAGCGUAUAUUAAAGUUGUUGCAGUUAAAAAGCUCGUAGUUGAAUUUCGAGACCGGCUUACUGGUCGUGCUUUUGUGCGUACUGGUAUAAUCGGUUUCUCCUUUCUGACGAACUUUAAUGCCAUUAAUUUGGUGUUUUAGGGAAUCAGGACUGUUACUUUGAAAAAUUAGAGUGUUUAAAGCAGGCUCACGCUUGAAUACAUUAGCAUGGAAUAACGGAAUAGGACGUUUGAUUCUAUUUUGUUGGUUUCUAGGAUCGACGUAAUGAUUAAUAGGGAUAGUUGGGGGCAUUAGUAUUCAAUUGUCAGAGGUGAAAUUCUUGGAUUUAUUGAAGACUAACUACUGCGAAAGCAUUUGCCAAGGAUGUUUUCAUUAAUCAAGAACGAAAGUUAGGGGAUCGAAGACGAUCAGAUACCGUCGUAGUCUUAACCAUAAACUAUGCC